Molecule: ribosomal RNA, 1554 nt
Filed under: Shigella sonnei
Lineage: Bacteria; Pseudomonadati; Pseudomonadota; Gammaproteobacteria; Enterobacterales; Enterobacteriaceae
Description: bacterial SSU rRNA
Rfam family: Bacterial small subunit ribosomal RNA
Source: RNAcentral
AAAUUGAAGAGUUUGAUCAUGGCUCAGAUUGAACGCUGGCAGCAGGCCUAACACAUGCAAGUCGAACGGUAACAGGAAGCAGCUUGCUGCUUCGCUGACGAGUGGCGGACGGGUGAGUAAUGUCUGGGAAACUGCCUGAUGGAGGGGGAUAACUACUGGAAACGGUAGCUAAUACCGCAUAACGUCGCAAGACCAAAGAGGGGGACCUUCGGGCCUCUUGCCAUCGGAUGUGCCCAGAUGGGAUUAGCUUGUUGGUGGGGUAACGGCUCACCAAGGCGACGAUCCCUAGCUGGUCUGAGAGGAUGACCAGCCACACUGGAACUGAGACACGGUCCAGACUCCUACGGGAGGCAGCAGUGGGGAAUAUUGCACAAUGGGCGCAAGCCUGAUGCAGCCAUGCCGCGUGUAUGAAGAAGGCCUUCGGGUUGUAAAGUACUUUCAGCGGGGAGGAAGGGAGUAAAGUUAAUACCUUUGCUCAUUGACGUUACCCGCAGAAGAAGCACCGGCUAACUCCGUGCCAGCAGCCGCGGUAAUACGGAGGGUGCAAGCGUUAAUCGGAAUUACUGGGCGUAAAGCGCACGCAGGCGGUUUGUUAAGUCAGAUGUGAAAUCCCCGGGCUCAACCUGGGAACUGCAUCUGAUACUGGCAAGCUUGAGUCUCGUAGAGGGGGGUAGAAUUCCAGGUGUAGCGGUGAAAUGCGUAGAGAUCUGGAGGAAUACCGGUGGCGAAGGCGGCCCCCUGGACGAAGACUGACGCUCAGGUGCGAAAGCGUGGGGAGCAAACAGGAUUAGAUACCCUGGUAGUCCACGCCGUAAACGAUGUCGACUUGGAGGUUGUGCCCUUGAGGCGUGGCUUCCGGAGCUAACGCGUUAAGUCGACCGCCUGGGGAGUACGGCCGCAAGGUUAAAACUCAAAUGAAUUGACGGGGGCCCGCACAAGCGGUGGAGCAUGUGGUUUAAUUCGAUGCAACGCGAAGAACCUUACCUGGUCUUGACAUCCACAGAACUUUCCAGAGAUGGAUUGGUGCCUUCGGGAACUGUGAGACAGGUGCUGCAUGGCUGUCGUCAGCUCGUGUUGUGAAAUGUUGGGUUAAGUCCCGCAACGAGCGCAACCCUUAUCCUUUGUUGCCAGCGGUCCGGCCGGGAACUCAAAGGAGACUGCCAGUGAUAAACUGGAGGAAGGUGGGGAUGACGUCAAGUCAUCAUGGCCCUUACGACCAGGGCUACACACGUGCUACAAUGGCGCAUACAAAGAGAAGCGACCUCGCGAGAGCAAGCGGACCUCAUAAAGUGCGUCGUAGUCCGGAUUGGAGUCUGCAACUCGACUCCAUGAAGUCGGAAUCGCUAGUAAUCGUGGAUCAGAAUGCCACGGUGAAUACGUUCCCGGGCCUUGUACACACCGCCCGUCACACCAUGGGAGUGGGUUGCAAAAGAAGUAGGUAGCUUAACCUUCGGGAGGGCGCUUACCACUUUGUGAUUCAUGACUGGGGUGAAGUCGUAACAAGGUAACCGUAGGGGAACCUGCGGUUGGAUCACCUCCUUACCUUAAAGAAGC